This 433-nucleotide ribosomal RNA is filed under the name uncultured bacterium. RNAcentral describes it as "partial 16S ribosomal RNA". It matches the Rfam family "Bacterial small subunit ribosomal RNA", at positions 29 to 507 of the family's 1533-position model. The record is from RNAcentral.
AACGAACGCUGGCGGCAUGCCUAACACAUGCAAGUCGAACGAGACCUUCGGGUCUAGUGGCGCACGGGUGCGUAACGCGUGGGAACCUGCCCUUAGGUUCGGAAUAACUCCCCGAAAGGGGUGCUAAUACCGGAUAAUGUCUUCGGACCAAAGAUUUAUCGCCUUUGGAUGGGCCCGCGUUGGAUUAGCUAGUUGGUAGGGUAAAAGCCUACCAAGGCGACGAUCCAUAGCUGGUCUGAGAGGAUGGUCAGCCACACUGGGACUGAGACACGGCCCAGACUCCUACGGGAGGCAGCAGUGGGGAAUAUUGGACAAUGGGCGAAGGCCUGAUCCAGCAAUGCCGCGUGAGUGAUGAAGGCCUUAGGGUUGUAAAGCUCUUUUACCCGGGAUGAUAAUGACAGUACCGGGAGAAUAAGCUCCGGCUAACUCCGUG